UUGCCAAGUCCUCGUUGUCCUGAGACCAAUAUUUUUUUAUGAUGACCCUGGGACAACAACUGCCUCAGCCAAUCAAAGUUUAUGACGUCAUCACUAUGUGCGCAGUGCAGAGUCCGCCAAAAUAACAGUAACGCCCCUCUUACAAAUUCAAAGAAAAGAAAAACUGUCCUGCAUCUGCAAGCACCGUGAUACCAGAGAAGAUAGCAAGUAAAAAGGGCACCAAGUGACCAAGAGCACACAAUGGAAGAUAAGGCAUUAAGGUGUCUCCAAAACAAGAGCCCAAUAUUCACAUUAGGAAGUGUGGGGCCAUAUGACAUUCAAGUGAACAGUUUGAACACUUUAAUGAGGGAUGAGCAAGUUUCUGACGAGGUCAUGAAUUCCAUAUGUGAUAUCCUUAGCAAGG
Long non-coding RNA from Carassius gibelio (silver crucian carp), 403 nucleotides. RefSeq lists it as uncharacterized. NCBI's taxonomy places the organism in Eukaryota, Metazoa, Chordata, Actinopteri, Cypriniformes, Cyprinidae. The transcript has 4 exons. The record is from RefSeq and is a predicted model, not a curated record.